UGGGGAAUUUUGGACAAUGGGCGAAAGCCUGAUCCAGCAAUGCCGCGUGUGUGAAGAAGGCCUUCGGGUUGUAAAGCACUUUUGUCCGGAAAGAAAUCCUUGGCUCUAAUACAGUCGGGGGAUGACGGUACCGGAAGAAUAAGCACCGGCUAACUACGUGCCAGCAGCCGCGGUAAUACGUAGGGUGCAAGCGUUAAUCGGAAUUACUGGGCGUAAAGCGUGCGCAGGCGGUUUGCUAAGACCGAUGUGAAAUCCCCGGGCUCAACCUGGGAACUGCAUUGGUGACUGGCAGGCUAGAGUAUGGCAGAGGGGGGUAGAAUUCCACGUGCAGCAGUGAAAUGCGUAGAGAUGUGGAGGAAUACCGAUGGCGAAGGCAGCCCCCUGGGCCAAUACUGACGCUCAUGCACGAAAGCGUGGGGAGCAAACAGGAUUAGAUACCCUGGUAGUCCACGCCCUAAACGAUGUCAACUAGUUGUUGGGGAUUCAUUUCCUUAGUAACGUAGCUAACGCGUGAAGUUGACCGCCUGGGGAGUACGGUCGCAAGAUUAAAACUUAAAUGAAUUGACGGGGUCAUAGCUG
Molecule: ribosomal RNA, 579 nt
Filed under: uncultured bacterium
Lineage: Bacteria
Description: partial 16S ribosomal RNA
Rfam family: Bacterial small subunit ribosomal RNA
Source: RNAcentral